AAUCAAUGAGCUUGUAAAGCAUAUAUUUUGAAAAUAUAAGAAAGAAUAUUUAAUUCUAUUGAUUU
This 65-nucleotide transfer RNA is filed under the name Anatis ocellata. Its description in RNAcentral is "tRNA-Ser". Lineage: Eukaryota; Metazoa; Arthropoda; Insecta; Coleoptera; Coccinellidae. The record is from RNAcentral.